This 253-nucleotide ribosomal RNA is filed under the name uncultured bacterium. Its description in RNAcentral is "partial 16S ribosomal RNA". It matches the Rfam family "Bacterial small subunit ribosomal RNA", at positions 524 to 775 of the family's 1533-position model. The record is from RNAcentral.
UACGGAGGGUGCGAGCGUUGUCCGGAAUCACUGGGCGUAAAGGGCGCGUAGGUGGCGCGGGCAGUCAACGGUGAAAGUUCGGGGCUCAACCCUGAAUCGGCCGUCGAUACUCCCGGGCUUGAGCACUGUAGAGGCUAAUGGAAUUCCGGGUGUAGCGGUGGAAUGCGUAGAGAUCCGGAAGAACACCGGUGGCGAAGGCGGUUAGCUGGGCAGUUGCUGACACUGAGGCGCGGACAGCGUGGGGAGCAACAGG